This 445-nucleotide ribosomal RNA is filed under the name Drosophila melanogaster (fruit fly). The stretch from base 243 to 445 matches the Rfam family "Eukaryotic small subunit ribosomal RNA", at positions 1 to 203 of the family's 1831-position model. The record is from RNAcentral. Lineage: Eukaryota; Metazoa; Arthropoda; Insecta; Diptera; Drosophilidae.
AUAUUGGUAAAACAAGUAGAAUUUAAAAAUGGAAAUACGAAUUACGAGUGCUAUAUAAAAAUGGCCGUAUUCGAAUGGAUUUAUUUUUAUAAAUAUAUUUAAAAUUUUUACCCAAAGGCAAAAUAUUGAAUUACAUUCAAUAAUAUAAAAAAAUGGAAUUAUAUAUAAAGUGGAAAAUCUAUAAUAUUUAUAUUGCUUAUUUCAAUUCAAAAAAUAUGAAUGAAAUAUGAAAAGAAAACAUUAUUCUGGUUGAUCCUGCCAGUAGUUAUAUGCUUGUCUCAAAGAUUAAGCCAUGCAUGUCUAAGUACACACGAAUUAAAAGUGAAACCGCAAAAGGCUCAUUAUAUCAGUUAUGGUUCCUUAGAUCGUUAACAGUUACUUGGAUAACUGGGGUAAUUCUAGAGCUAAUACAUGCAAUUAAAACAUGAACCUUAUGGGACAUGUG